Molecule: ribosomal RNA, 460 nt
Filed under: uncultured bacterium
Lineage: Bacteria
Description: partial 16S ribosomal RNA
Rfam family: Bacterial small subunit ribosomal RNA
Source: RNAcentral
CCUACGGGAGGCAGCAGUGAGGAAUAUUGGUCAAUGGACGAGAGUCUGAACCAGCAAAGUAGCGUGAAGGAUGACUGCCCUCUGGGUUGUCAACUUCUUUUAUAAAGGAAUAAAACGAGGCACGUGUGCAUUUUUGCAUGUACUUUAUGAAUAAGGAUCGGCUAACUCCGUGCCAGCAGCCGCGGUAAUUCGGAGGAUCCGAGCGUUAUCAGGAUUUAUUGGGUUUAAAGGGAGCGUAGAUGGGUUGUUAAGUCAGUGGUGAAAGUUUGCGGCUCAACCGUAAAAUUGCAAUUGAUACUGGCAGUCUUGAGUACAGUUGAGGUAGGCGGAAUUCGGGGUGUAGCGGUGAAAUGCUUAGAUAUCACGAAGAACCCCGAGUGCGAAGGCAGCUUACGAAACUGUGACUGACAUUGAUGCUCGAAAGUGUGGGUAUCAAACAGGAUUAGAUACCCCUGUAGUC